Molecule: long non-coding RNA, 2509 nt
Organism: Heterocephalus glaber (naked mole-rat)
Lineage: Eukaryota; Metazoa; Chordata; Mammalia; Rodentia; Bathyergidae
Source: Ensembl
CUCUUCCAUACUCUUUUAUUAUUUGUCCAGACAUCUUGUUUAAAUAAUUCCUGAAAUGUCAACACCGCCAAUGUUUUCUCCAAUGAAUUAGAAGUAAAAAAUAGUAUGAAAAUAUUGAUAACCAUGAUUUCAUAUAUGGUAACUUAUUUUUCCUAUAAACCUUCCCUUAUCAUAGCACUUACCUUGAUGAUUGGUUAGGUCACAUAUAGCCCCACUGAGCCUCAAUAUGCCAUGCCAUUAUUUCCUUUUUUCGUAUUCCUCCUAUAAUGCACAAAUACCUCACUACAUAUAGAGAAUUUAAUUGGAAUUUUCCCUACUUUUUGUAUGUCAUUUGCAUCUGGAACAGAAAAAUAUCAGAUACCCAAGAGACCUGGGAGGAAAGGGCCCAUACUAGGAUGGAGACAGGUAGGAGAGAGAAGAGUGAGAACAACUGAAAGCAACGAGUAACCCACUUUGACCCAGGUCAGGUGAAUGACAGCUGGCAGAUAGCUUGAGUACACAGUAUAAACAAAUGGAAUGGAUAGGGCUGAGGCACAAAAUGAAUGAAGGUUGCUAAAUAGUAUCUCUUCAAUAUGGACUGCUGAAAGGAUGCAUGAAGAAAUAACUGAAUCCAUGGCCAUUUACUAAAUCAAGUUGUUUAAUGUGCUUUGCACAUUAAACAAUAUAUUUUCAGUUAUAAAAGCAUAAGAAUAAAUCAUGUUUCAUUAGAUUGAAUGACUAUCUGGACUCUCUUACAAUUCUCAUUUUGAUUUUUGUUCUUAAAAAGCCUACGAGCUUUAAAGUGUAGUAUAUUUAUUAUCUUUAAUAGGAUUGUUCUCAAGCACAACUUCUGCAAGUUUAUAUACUGCUCAAAAUUGUUUUCCAAAUAUACUUAACUGGACAGUUGGCAAUAAUAGGAUUGGUGGAGUUAUUUUGCUCUAAUUCAGUAGUUCCAUCCUACUGAUAGCAUAUAGCUUAGUAAAAAAACAAAACAAAAAACAGUUUUCACUCUUGCAUUUUAUUUAUUUAUUUGUUUGUUUGUUUGUUUUUUGGUACCGGGGAUUGAACUCUGGACCUUCAGCUUGCAAGCCUUCAGUUCUUAUGUUGCCUGAAAUGCCCUGUAAGACUCAGUCUUUUAGGUCAAUCUGAAAAGAUUUUGGAAACCAAAAACGCCUUCCCUAGGCACAUAUGAAGAGUAUGGAGGGGCUAAGAAGGCCAGAAAGUUGGAAUCCCUGACAGCAUCAAGGAAGAUCCAGACUGACCUGGGAAUAGUAGUCACCUGAAAAGUAGCAGAACUGUAGACAACUCAGCAGAAACAUUAAGGACAGAGAUAAAAGAGAUCAACAUACCUGAGAAUGGUGACAAGUCAUUUCUAGAGAAAACCAACCCAGAAUGGAGACAAAGACAAACACACAGUUAUCAUUAUAUAAAAAAUAUCACUGGACUUGGAAUCAGCCUAACCAGGAAAACCAGGAAGAGUGAGAAAUAUGAGGGGUAUUGAACUUGAGCAUGAUUGUCUUAGUUGCUUUCUUAUUGCCUUGGUGCCAAAAUAUGUCUUAGAUAUUUUCUCAUUGCUGAGACACAAUACCCAACACAAUGUGGAAAGGUUUAUUUUGGCUUACAGUUUCUAGAGGUUUCACUUGGUAGUUGGAUGGCUUCAAGGGCAGCAUGGCAGAGGGGCAUGGCAGGCAGGAAGCACAGAGCCAUCAAAGGAGGAAUAGGUAUAUUGAUAUAGAUAUACAUACUUCCUUCCAGCCCGUGCCCCCAGUGACCCAUCCCUUCCCACCAGGCUUCACCUCCCAACAUGACACCCAGCUAUAAGCCCAUCAGUGGACUAAUCUGGUGUCGCACACCCAUGAUCCAGUCAGCUCCCAAAGGCCCCACCUAUGAGCAUACAAGGCUUUGGGUGGACAUCUAGAUAUAAGCCAUAAUAAUGACCAACCUAGCCCAUACCACUGAGAGAUUGCAAAAUGGUUUUGGAUGUAAGACUUCUGUGUUUAACCUACAGACUCAAUCUCAUCAUCAGAAUAGUCUCCAUCUGCUUCUCUUCACACUACUUGUUUCCUUUGUAGUUAGCUUGUGGACACCCUACACAUAAAUUCUCCAAGCGGCUCACAGUAUAACAAAUCUCAGGGCAGAGAUUUGCUCAUCUGGGCUGCAUGUCCUGCCCUGAACCUCUUACCGUGUCAAAAGCUAGGGUGAACUCUGAUUGGCCAAACACAGGCUAAAACCAUCCCACUGACAGGCAAGGUCAGAGGAGUCAAUAAACUACAUGGAAUUUCCCUAAAACUGAGGAGUUCAUCCCCCAAAGGGAUAAAAGUAUGCUGGAUGAAUACCAUGCAAGUUGUUAUAGCCUGGUUGCAGUGAGAACAUGAUAGCUGAGUAUAGUAAUGCACACCUGUGAUCCCAGCAUUGAGGGAGAAGGAUCAAAAAAUCAAGCUUAGUCCAAGCAACUUCUUAACGUAUUGAAAUCUAUCUCUUAAAAAGAGAAAAAGAAUUUAAAGCCUGGGGAUGUAGCUCAGUGUAAAGG